This 468-nucleotide ribosomal RNA is filed under the name uncultured bacterium. RNAcentral's name for it is "partial 16S ribosomal RNA". It matches the Rfam family "Bacterial small subunit ribosomal RNA", at positions 28 to 507 of the family's 1533-position model. The record is from RNAcentral.
GACGAACGCUGGCGGCGUGCUUAACACAUGCCAGUCGAACGGAAAGGCCCUGCUUUUGUGGGGUGCUCGAGUGGCGAACGGGUGAGUAACACGUGAGUAACCUGCCCUUGACUUUGGGAUAACUUCAGGCAACUGGGGCUAAUACCGGAUAGGAGCUCCUGCUGCAUGGUGGGGGUUGGAAAGUUUCGGCGGUUGGGGAUGGACUCGCGGCUUAUCAGCUUGGUGGUGGGGUAGUGGCUUACCAAGGCUUUGACGGGUAGCCGGCCUGAGAGGGUGACCGGCCCCAUUGGGACUGGGCUACGACCCAGACUCCUACGGGAGGCAGCAGUGGGGAGUAUUGCACAAUGGGCGGAAGCCUGAUGCAGCAACGCCGCGUGCGGGAUGACGGGCUUCGGGUUGUGAACCGCUUUCGCCUGUGACGAAGCGUGAGUGACGGUAAUGGGUAAAGAAGCACCGGCUAACUACGUG